Molecule: ribosomal RNA, 458 nt
Filed under: uncultured bacterium
Lineage: Bacteria
Description: bacterial SSU rRNA
Rfam family: Bacterial small subunit ribosomal RNA
Source: RNAcentral
CGCUGGCGGCAUGCCUAACACAUGCAAGUCGAACGGGUGGUUCCUUCGGGGAUCACUUAGUGGCGAACGGGUGAGUAACGCGUGAGAAAACCUGCCUUUCAGUGGGGGACAACAGUUGGAAACGACUGCUAAUACCGCAUAAUGUUAUCGAGCGGCAUCGCUUGAUACCAAAGCUUUAUGUGCUGAAAGAUGGUCUCGCGUCUGAUUAGCUAGUUGGUGAGGUAACGGCUCACCAAGGCGACGAUCAGUAGCCGGUCUGAGAGGAUGAACGGCCACAUUGGGACUGAGAUACGGCCCAGACUCCUACGGGAGGCAGCAGUGGGGAAUAUUGGGGCAAUGGGGGAAACCCUGACCCAGCAACGCCGCGUGAAGGAAGAAGGCCUUCGGGUUGUAAACUUCUUUUACCAGGGACGAAGAACGUGACGGUACCUGGAGAAAAAGCAACGGCUAACUACGUG